UGACGAUGAGACCGGCAAAAUAAACGAAGCUAAAUUGCGCACAGACGUCGACUUUCUCCGUGAAGGUGAGAUGCUGCUGGAAGGACAGUGAGGUAAAAAGCUGCUGAUAAUCGGCCUACUCCGUCGCCACAGCGCCCUCCAUCGGUGGGCCGAUGAAGGGCGUGGUCUGCAUCCGUCUCUUUAAAGUGGUACCCACAGCCUCAGCAUCUCUGAGCGGAGGCUUUUAAAAGUCCGGUGUGUAACAUAUAAGAGGGUUUAUUGGCACGAAUUAUACUACAACUGUGUUUGUAUCAGGGCCGGCCCUGCGCAUUUUGUUGCCCUAGGCGAGAUUAGGAUUCAGUGCUGACCCCAAUGAGAUGUCAUAAAACACUAUAUAGUAUGGUAGUCAGCAGUGAAGUUGAUGAUAGAAGUAGCACUUUUUGAUAAAUAAGAUAAAGAUAUUCUGCAUAGUACUAAAUAAUAGUAAAUGGUAAUAAAAUAAAUAAAUAUUGUGAAUGGUUGCAUUACAGAGCAUUAAAAUUUGACACGCCUUAAUGUCCA
Long non-coding RNA from Solea senegalensis (Senegalese sole), 540 nucleotides. RefSeq lists it as uncharacterized. The record is from RefSeq and is a predicted model, not a curated record. The transcript is spliced from 2 exons. Lineage: Eukaryota; Metazoa; Chordata; Actinopteri; Pleuronectiformes; Soleidae.